GACGUAGGGCGCGAGCGUUGUCCGGAUUUAUUGGGCGUAAAGAGCUCGUAGGCGGCUUGUCGCGUCGACCGUGAAAACUUGGGGCUCAACCCCAAGCCUGCGGUCGAUACGGGCAGGCUAGAGUUCGGUAGGGGAGACUGGAAUUCCUGGUGUAGCGGUGAAAUGCGCAGAUAUCAGGAGGAACACCGGUGGCGAAGGCGGGUCUCUGGGCCGAUACUGACGCUGAGGAGCGAAAGCGUGGGGAGCGAACAGG
Molecule: ribosomal RNA, 253 nt
Filed under: Micromonospora aurantiaca (nom. illeg.)
Lineage: Bacteria; Bacillati; Actinomycetota; Actinomycetes; Micromonosporales; Micromonosporaceae
Also listed under: 1 other name
Description: Micromonospora aurantiaca partial 16S ribosomal RNA
Rfam family: Bacterial small subunit ribosomal RNA
Source: RNAcentral